UUUAUGGAGAGUUUGAUCCUGGCUCAGGAUGAACGCUGGCGGCGUGCCUAAUACAUGCAAGUCGAGCGAACGGACGAGAAGCUUGCUUCUCUGAUGUUAGCGGCGGACGGGUGAGUAACACGUGGAUAACCUACCUAUAAGACUGGGAUAACUUCGGGAAACCGGAGCUAAUACCGGAUAAUAUUUUGAACCGCAUGGUUCAAAAGUGAAAGACGGUCUUGCUGUCACUUAUAGAUGGAUCCGCGCUGCAUUAGCUAGUUGGUAAGGUAACGGCUUACCAAGGCAACGAUGCAUAGCCGACCUGAGAGGGUGAUCGGCCACACUGG
RNAcentral lists this ribosomal RNA (326 nucleotides) under Staphylococcus aureus. Its description in RNAcentral is "bacterial SSU rRNA". It matches the Rfam family "Bacterial small subunit ribosomal RNA", at positions 1 to 316 of the family's 1533-position model. Lineage: Bacteria; Bacillati; Bacillota; Bacilli; Caryophanales; Staphylococcaceae. The record is from RNAcentral.